GCAUUAUUGUUCCUGAAGCAUGUAUGGACAUCUUCUGUAACAUGGCCCCAUGCUGCAAAAGAUAUCUUACGAUCUCAAACUCGUGUUGCUACCAAGAGAAAUUUUUUAUUUCAACUUCCCUAAGGCGUUGACUUAAUCACAGUGGUUUCUCUUUAGCACCAGGGUAAAGGUCUAUGAUAGGGAUUCUUUCAUCUUCACCCUGCUUUAAAAGAAAAAGAAAAAACAAAGAGAAAACUUGACAAUCAAAUCUACGGCUUUGUCUCUUAAUCAGUCUAAAAAAGAAAAGCCACAACCAUCAUAUCUUUUCCUUUCGAAGAAUCUUAGUUCAAAUCCUAACUCACCAUGUAACAAACUAGCAUUUCCAAAUGUGGUGCACUCUUUUAGUAGAAUCUCUUAAUUUUCCCAAGUAUCUACUCUACACCUACUCUAAUCUGUUAGCAGAGGGCCCAAUUGGAUUUACAGGAGAAUCGACUGAGACUGAACUACUAUCAAAACAGAUUGAUGCACUACGUAUCCGUAUGGAUUUAGAGAAAAUCACCUAAAAUGACAAGUCACGUACAGUGGGAGAUAAAAUUUAAACUUUUGACCUCCGAACCAUACCAAACCUUAAAAGGCUUUGGUUAUGGCCAACAACCCAAAUGAUUGAUGGUUAGGUAACAAAUUAUCGGACUACUAGACAGAAACUUCACGUCAUAGGGAAAGCAAAGGUCAUUCAACACUUCAAUAAAUUUGUACCAUAAGCUAUGAAAUCCUGAAAGUGCCAGUGAAUUAAAGAUAUCCAAAGUCAAAAGACAUUACCUCCAAAGAAAUCCCAGAUAAACGAAGAGAUUUUAUCUAUUGGACAUUUCAUUACUAAGUUGGCAAAACUUGUUCCCAAAUUCCAAAGACAUAUUAGCUUUUACCAAAGACUUGAGCUUGCACUCCGAGCGAUUACAGGAAUUGCAUCACAUAUAUGCGAAUACUCAAAGACUGGGGGUAUUAAGAGCAAGCCUAUCGGAUUCCGAACAUGUAUGCCACACUUGUCGGAGGGGAGGAGAAACCACAAGCCCUAGUUCCGGUGAUAGUGAAAGUGGUGUUUCUUCAAAUUUAGGGAGAGGGGAAAGGACUUUGAAG
Molecule: long non-coding RNA, 1113 nt
Filed under: Coffea arabica (coffee)
Lineage: Eukaryota; Viridiplantae; Streptophyta; Magnoliopsida; Gentianales; Rubiaceae
Description: long non-coding RNA (CARA_LNC000222)
Source: RNAcentral